GAGUUUGAUCUUGGCUCAGGAUGAACGCUGGCGGCGUGCUUAACACAUGCAAGUCGAACGAAGCACUCAGGAGCGAUUUCGGUCAAUCCUGUUUGACUGAGUGGCGGACGGGUGAGUAACGCGUGAGUAACCUACCUCGCAGUGGGGAAUAACAGUUGGAAACGACUGCUAAUACCGCAUAAUGCAGAGAGACCGCAUGAUCUUUCUGCCAAAAGAUUUAUCGCUGUGAGAUGGACUCGCGUCUGAUUAGCUAGUUGGUGAGGUAACGGCUCACCAAGGCGACGAUCAGUAGCCGGACUGAGAGGUUGACCGGCCACAUUGGGACUGAGACACGGCCCAGACUCCUACGGGAGCAGCAGUGGGAAUAUGGGCAAUGGCGCAAGCCUGACCCAGCAACG
This 398-nucleotide ribosomal RNA is filed under the name bacterium enrichment culture clone ALO1_GLFRUDD03FTX7Z. RNAcentral's name for it is "bacterial SSU rRNA". It matches the Rfam family "Bacterial small subunit ribosomal RNA", at positions 9 to 396 of the family's 1533-position model. The record is from RNAcentral.